Molecule: non-coding RNA, 1435 nt
Organism: Arvicanthis niloticus (Nile rat)
Lineage: Eukaryota; Metazoa; Chordata; Mammalia; Rodentia; Muridae
Source: RefSeq, a predicted model, not a curated record
AUGGAGGUCUUCUGCCCAGCCCUGGGCCCCUUGGUCACCUAGCUGUAUGACGUGCAGGCUUUCAAGUUCGGGAGCUUUGUACUGAAAAGCCGGCUCUCCUCCCCAGUCUACAUCGACCUGCAGGGCAUCAUGUCUUCUCAGUCAGGUCGCAGACAUUUUAUUCCAAACUGCCAAAAAUGUCGGGAUCAGUUUUGACAGUGUGUGUGGAGUUCCUUAUACAGCGUUACCAGUAGCAACAGUUAUCUGCUCAGCCAAUCACAUUCCCAUGUUCAUUAGGAAGAAGGAAACAAAGGAUUAUGGUACCAAGCGCCUUGUAGAAGGAGAGAGUAAUCCUGGGAAGACCUGUCUCGUCAUUGAGGAUGUCUUCACCAGUGGGGCCAGUGUUUUGGAGACUGUUGAAGUUCUUCAGAAGGAGGGUCUAAAGGUGACUGAUGCCAUAGUGCUGCUGGACAGAGAGCAGGGAGGCCAGGACAAGCUGCAGGCCCAGGGGAUCCGUCUCCAUGCAGUGUGCACCUUGUCCCAAAUGCUGGAGAUUCUGGAGCAGCAGAAAAAAAUUGACGCUGAGAUGGUCGGGAAAGUGAAGAGGUUCAUUCAAGAGAAUGUUUUUUCAUCAGCUAAUCAUAAUGGUUUUCCACCUCCUGAGAAGAAAGCAUGCAAAGAACUCAGCUUUGGUGCUCGAGCAGAGCUGCCUGGAAUCCACCCACUUGCCUCAAAGCUCCUCAGGCUUAUGCAGAAGAAGGAGACCAAUCUGUGUCUGUCCGCUGAUGUGUCGGAGGCCAGAGAGCUGCUGCAGCUAGCAGAUGCCUUGGGACCCAGCAUCUGCAUGCUCAAAACUCAUGUCGAUAUUCUGAAUGAUUUUACUCUGGAUGUGAUGGAGGAGUUGACCGUUCUGGCAAAACACCACGAGUUCUUAAUAUUUGAAGACAGGAAAUUUGCUGAUAUAGGAAACACAGUUAAAAAGCAGUAUGAAAGUGGCAUCUUUAAAAUAGCUUCCUGGGCAGAUGUAGUAAAUGCCCACGUGGUACCAGGCUCAGGAGUUGUGAAAGGCUUACAGGAAGUGGGCCUGCCUUUACAUCAAGGGUGCUUGCUCAUUAAAGAAAUUAGCUCUCCUGGCUCCUUGGCCACGGGAAACUACACCAAGGCAGCAGUUGGGAUGGCUGAGGAACACUGUGAAUUUGUCAUUGGCUUUAUUUCUGGCUCCCGAAUAAGCAUGAAACCAGAGUUUCUUCACUUGACCCCAGGAGUUCAAUUAGAAACAGGAGGGGAUCACCUUGGCCAGCAGUACAAUAGUCCACAAAAAGUGAUUGGUAAACGCGGUUCUGAUGUCAUCAUUGUAGGCAGGGGAAUACUUGCAGCAGCUAACCAUCUGGAAGCAGCUGAGAUGUACAGAAAAGCUGCCUGGGAAGCGUAUUUGAGUAGACUUGCUGUUCAGUAA